Molecule: transfer RNA, 74 nt
Filed under: Treponema saccharophilum DSM 2985
Lineage: Bacteria; Pseudomonadati; Spirochaetota; Spirochaetia; Treponematales; Treponemataceae
Description: tRNA-Gln
Rfam family: tRNA
About the family: Transfer RNA (tRNA) molecules are approximately 80 nucleotides in length. Their secondary structure includes four short double-helical elements and three loops (D, anti-codon, and T loops).
Source: RNAcentral
UCUCCGCUGGUGUAAUGGUAGCACACGGGCUUUUGGUGCCCAUAGUCCGGGUUCGAAUCCUGGGUGGAGAACGA